Molecule: ribosomal RNA, 108 nt
Filed under: Bacillus velezensis
Lineage: Bacteria; Bacillati; Bacillota; Bacilli; Caryophanales; Bacillaceae
Description: partial 16S ribosomal RNA
Rfam family: Bacterial small subunit ribosomal RNA
Source: RNAcentral
UUAUCGGAGAGUUUGAUCCUGGCUCAGGACGAACGCUGGCGGCGUGCCUAAUACAUGCAAGUCGAGCGGACAGACGGGAGCUUGCUCCCUGAUGUUAGCGGCGGACGG